GAAAUUACAAAAAUUACUCUAAUCUAUUGAACAUACACAACAUGCCUUGUUCCAUACAGUGCAGUGUUCUGGACCCCUCCACCUUUGUGACUCACUCUACCUCAGACCGAGAAGCCUCUCCUGGCCUGGAGCCCAGAGUUCUUAGCUUAACUGACUGAGAGCUUUGCCCCCGGGGCAGGUUUAGCCCUAAACACACACUCACCACAGAGAAAAUGCAGCGCAUCACACAAAUUCAUGUGUGUGUGUGAGAGGAAAGGGCAGGAGGGGUGCCCUGGGAGAGGUCACUACAGAGGCAUCCUGCAAUAUAGGGUAAGCAACUAUGGCCUGCCCUAUACUGUACUACUUUAAAGCUGUGGCCUACCAACUGCUGGGAGAAGCUCACUUUAGCUUUCCUCUCUCUAAAGAGGAGCCUCUCAUAAACUGUCUGCCGUUGGAUGUGUAGGCUAACAGUGGGUCUAUGACGAAUCAGGAGAACAAUGAUGAUCUGACUAACCCCAACCUACAUUACUACUAUUUGUAGUAAUGCCAAACACUUGUGAGUGGAGACCAACAAAGACAGGGUUGAGAGAGGAGCAGAGAGGAGAGGGAGUGGGGGAGUGGGAAGUAGGACACAGGAAAUGGACAGAGAGACAGAGAGCGCAAGGGAGGGGAAGGAAACAUGGAGGAUGACUACAACAAGAAUCACUUCCACUAAUUGUGUGUCUCCUCCUCGGCUGUCUGCGGAGCACUUUGGCAUUUCACUUCUGUCUUUAUCGGUCAAAAGGGAGGCUAAUGAAUAUGCAAAUUUUGGUCCAACGCCUCCAGUUGUGGCGGGCAACACCCCCUAGUUAGCCGCCCAUAACGACAAGGGGUCAGAGACACUCUGGUUUCUCAGCAACCUGGAGUCACGGCACUCUACCCCGCCUUCCCACCUGAUGGGAACAAAGGAUUAUUCAUGAAAAAUGGAGAAGUACAGUGUACGUCAACCUGCAUCCUUCCCCGCCCACACACUGUGACAGGGCUGAAAUCCACAGCCCAUUCUGCUUGAUUGAUACCAUCAAACCAACCAAGGUCACAGCUUCCUCCGAGCAGCCCAGCCGCCAUUGCCAGCAGGCAGGCAGCCACCACAUCAUAGAGAUAUACAGGGUAAGAGAGAAGGGGGCAGUUCAAGAGCUACAAGCAAGUCAAUGCGAUGCAAAAUGGUUCACAUUUCAAGCACCCAUGGAGCAAUUGCAUUGUAUAUGCUAUACAAUACGCUAUAUGAUGUUACUCCGAUUCCAAAUUAAUGUUAGAGUUUCAACUCAGUAAGUCACUUUGGACAAAUGUAAACCUUGAUCAGUUCUGUCACAGAAUGAUCAUAAGUAUUUUCAGAUUACUUAUGGAAAUGAUUGAACUGUCAGAUUCAGUCUGUGUGUAACGACCAUUGGUGGAAGAAGGUGAAGACCAAGAUGCAGCAUGAACCGGCGUCUGUCGAAGCAAUAAGCGAGGACAUCUGUGUAUCUGACAGCCUUCAAUGGGGUCAAGCUGAAGAACAAUCUA
Molecule: long non-coding RNA, 1518 nt
Organism: Oncorhynchus tshawytscha (Chinook salmon)
Lineage: Eukaryota; Metazoa; Chordata; Actinopteri; Salmoniformes; Salmonidae
Source: Ensembl